RNAcentral lists this ribosomal RNA (301 nucleotides) under uncultured bacterium. RNAcentral's name for it is "partial 16S ribosomal RNA". It matches the Rfam family "Bacterial small subunit ribosomal RNA", at positions 509 to 809 of the family's 1533-position model. The record is from RNAcentral.
CAGCAGCCGCGGUAAUACGUAGGUGGCAAGCGUUGUCCGGAAUUAUUGGGCGUAAAGCGCGCGCAGGCGGAUCAGUUAGUCUGUCUUAAAAGUUCGGGGCUUAACCCCGUGAUGGGAUGGAAACUGCUGAUCUAGAGUAUCGGAGAGGAAAGUGGAAUUCCUAGUGUAGCGGUGAAAUGCGUAGAUAUUAGGAAGAACACCAGUGGCGAAGGCGACUUUCUGGACGAAAACUGACGCUGAGGCGCGAAAGCCAGGGGAGCGAACGGGAUUAGAUACCCGCGUAGUCCCUGUCUCUUAUACA